This is a non-coding RNA of Felis catus (domestic cat), 73 nucleotides long. NCBI's taxonomy places the organism in Eukaryota, Metazoa, Chordata, Mammalia, Carnivora, Felidae. The record is from the annotation of a RefSeq genome assembly.
GCCUGGCUGGCUCAGUUGGUAAAGCAUGUGACUAUUAAUCUUGAGGUCGUGAGUUCAAGCCCCACAUCAGGCU